GACAGAGGGUGCAAACGUUGUUCGGAAUUACUGGGCGCAAAGCGUGUGUAGGCGGUCCACUAAGUCGGGUGUGAAAGCCCUGGGCUCAACCCAGGAAGUGCACUCGAAACUGGCGGGCUAGAGUAUCGGAGAGGUUGGUGGAAUUCUCGGUGUAGAGGUGAAAUUCGUAGAUAUCGAGAGGAACACCGGUGGCGAAGGCGGCCAACUGGACGAAUACUGACGCUGAGACACGAAAGCGUGGGGAGCAAACAGG
This 253-nucleotide ribosomal RNA is filed under the name uncultured bacterium. Its description in RNAcentral is "partial 16S ribosomal RNA". It matches the Rfam family "Bacterial small subunit ribosomal RNA", at positions 524 to 776 of the family's 1533-position model. The record is from RNAcentral.